This 37-nucleotide small RNA is filed under the name Arabidopsis thaliana (thale cress). RNAcentral's name for it is "ATSL061020". Lineage: Eukaryota; Viridiplantae; Streptophyta; Magnoliopsida; Brassicales; Brassicaceae. The record is from RNAcentral.
AAGUCUCUCUCUCUCUCUCUCUCUCUCUCCCUCCUUG